This 72-nucleotide transfer RNA is filed under the name Epichloe festucae E2368. RNAcentral's name for it is "tRNA-Trp (CCA) (tRNA-Trp-CCA-2-1, tRNA-Trp-CCA-2-2)". It matches the Rfam family "tRNA". From Rfam's summary of the family: Transfer RNA (tRNA) molecules are approximately 80 nucleotides in length. Their secondary structure includes four short double-helical elements and three loops (D, anti-codon, and T loops). RNAcentral also lists the same sequence under 1 other name. Lineage: Eukaryota; Fungi; Ascomycota; Sordariomycetes; Hypocreales; Clavicipitaceae. The record is from RNAcentral.
GGGGCCUUAGAUCAGUGGUAGAUUAUGUGAUUCCAGUCCACAGGGUCGUCCGUUCGAUCCGGGCAGGCCUCA